UACGGGGGGGGCAAGCGUUGUUCGGAAUUACUGGGCGUAAAGGGCGCGUAGGCGGCCUGUUAAGUCGAACGUGAAAUCCCCGGGCUCAACCCGGGAACUGCGUCCGAUACUGGCAGGCUUGAAUCCGGGAGAGGGAUGCGGAAUUCCAGGUGUAGCGGUGAAAUGCGUAGAUAUCUGGAGGAAUACCGGUGGCGAAGGCGGCAUCCUGGACCGACAUUGACGCUGAGGAGCGAAAGCUAGGGGAGCAAACGGG
This 253-nucleotide ribosomal RNA is filed under the name uncultured bacterium. RNAcentral's name for it is "partial 16S ribosomal RNA". It matches the Rfam family "Bacterial small subunit ribosomal RNA", at positions 524 to 776 of the family's 1533-position model. The record is from RNAcentral.